CCGCACCAACGCGGAAUCGAACCCUCGUCCUCUCGCUUACAACACCAGCACGCUAACCACUGCACCAUGGUGCU
Molecule: non-coding RNA, 74 nt
Organism: Oesophagostomum dentatum (nodular worm)
Lineage: Eukaryota; Metazoa; Nematoda; Chromadorea; Rhabditida; Strongylidae
Source: the annotation of a GenBank genome assembly